GAUGAACGCUGGCGGUAUGCCUAACACAUGCAAGUCGUACGAGAGUUUUUAACUCUAGUGGCGGACGGGUGAGUAACACGUGAGAAUUUGCCUUUAGGAGGGGGACAACAAUCGGAAACGAAUGCUAAUACCCCAUAUGCUUUCGAGUGAAAUGGAUUUUAUCCGCCUAGAGAGAAGCUCGCGGCUGAUUAGCUUGUUGGUAAGGUAAGAGCUUACCAAGGCGACGAUCAGUAUCUGGUUUGAGAGGACGAUCAGACACACUGGAACUGAGACACGGCCCAGACUCCUACGGGAGGCAGCAGUGGGGAAUAUUGGACAAUGGGCGAAAGCCUGAUCCAGCAAUGCCGCGUGAGUGAUGAAGGCCUUAGGGUUGUAAAGCUCUUUUACCCGAGAUGAUAAUGACAGUAUCGGGAGAAUAAGCUCCGGCUAACUCCGUG
RNAcentral lists this ribosomal RNA (437 nucleotides) under uncultured bacterium. Its description in RNAcentral is "bacterial SSU rRNA". It matches the Rfam family "Bacterial small subunit ribosomal RNA", at positions 28 to 507 of the family's 1533-position model. The record is from RNAcentral.